UUAGGAAUAUUCGGCAAUGGGGGAAACCCUGACCGAGCGAUGCCGCGUGAGUGAUGAAGGUUCUAUGAAUUGUAAAACUCUGUUGUAUGGGAAGAACGGUUAGUAUAGGAAAUGAUACUAGCGUGACGGUACCAUGCCAGAAAGCUCCGGCUAACUACGUGCCAGCAGCCGCGGUAAUACGUAGGGAGCGAGCGUUAUCCGGAUUUAUUGGGCGUAAAGCGUGUGUAGACGGUUUAUUAAGUAUAAGAUUAAAACCUGAGGCUCAACCUCAGUUCGUCUUAUAAACUGAUAGGCUUGAGUAUAGUAGAGGCAAGUGGAAUUUCUAGUGUAGCGGUUAAAUGUGUAGAUAUUAGAAGGAACACCAGUGGCGAAGGCGACUUGCUGGACUAUCACUGACGUUGAGGCACGAAAGCGUGGGGAGCAAAUAGG
RNAcentral lists this ribosomal RNA (429 nucleotides) under uncultured prokaryote. RNAcentral describes it as "bacterial SSU rRNA". It matches the Rfam family "Bacterial small subunit ribosomal RNA", at positions 355 to 776 of the family's 1533-position model. RNAcentral also lists the same sequence under 1 other name. The record is from RNAcentral.